GACGAACGCUGGCGGCGUGCUUAACACAUGCAAGUCGAACGGAAAGGCCCUGCUUUUGUGGGGUGCUCGAGUGGCGAACGGGUGAGUAACACGUGAGUAACCUGCCCUUGACUUUGGGAUAACUUCAGGAAACUGGGGCUAAUACCGGAUAGGAGCUCCUGCUGCAUGGUGGGGGUUGGAAAGUUUCGGCGGUUGGGGAUGGACUCGCGGCUUAUCAGCUUGUUGGUGGGGUAGUGGCCUACCAAGGCUUUGACGGGUAGCCGGCCUGGGAUGGUGACCGGCCACAUGGGGACUGAGAUACGGCCCAGACUCCUACGGGAGGCAGCAGUGGGGAAUAUUGCACGAUGGGCGGAAGCCUGAUGCAGCAACGCCGCGUGCGGGAUGACGGCCUUCGGGUUGUAAACCGCUUUCGCCUGUGACGAAGCGUGAGUGACGGUAAUGGGUAAAGAAGCACCGGCUAACUACGUG
RNAcentral lists this ribosomal RNA (468 nucleotides) under uncultured bacterium. RNAcentral describes it as "partial 16S ribosomal RNA". It matches the Rfam family "Bacterial small subunit ribosomal RNA", at positions 28 to 507 of the family's 1533-position model. The record is from RNAcentral.